This 253-nucleotide ribosomal RNA is filed under the name uncultured bacterium. RNAcentral's name for it is "partial 16S ribosomal RNA". It matches the Rfam family "Bacterial small subunit ribosomal RNA", at positions 109 to 353 of the family's 1533-position model. The record is from RNAcentral.
AGUAAUACAUAAGUAACCUGCCCUAGACAGAGGGAUAACUAUUGGAAACGAUAGCUAAGACCGCAUAGGUACGGACACUGCAUGGUGACCGUAUUAAAAGUGCCUCAAAGCACUGGUAGAGGAUGGACUUAUGGCGCAUUAGCUGGUUGGCGGGGUAACGGCCCACCAAGGCGACGAUGCGUAGCCGACCUGAGAGGGUGACCGGCCACACUGGGACUGAGACACGGCCCAGACUCCUACGGGAGGCAGCAUG